Molecule: ribosomal RNA, 350 nt
Filed under: Escherichia coli
Lineage: Bacteria; Pseudomonadati; Pseudomonadota; Gammaproteobacteria; Enterobacterales; Enterobacteriaceae
Description: partial 23S ribosomal RNA
Rfam family: Bacterial large subunit ribosomal RNA
Source: RNAcentral
GGGGGUCAUCCCGACUUACCAACCCGAUGCAAACUGCGAAUACCGGAGAAUGUUAUCACGGGAGACACACGGCGGGUGCUAACGUCCGUCGUGAAGAGGGAAACAACCCAGACCGCCAGCUAAGGUCCCAAAGUCAUGGUUAAGUGGGAAACGAUGUGGGAAGGCCCAGACAGCCAGGAUGUUGGCUUAGAAGCAGCCAUCAUUUAAAGAAAGCGUAAUAGCUCACUGGUCGAGUCGGCCUGCGCGGAAGAUGUAACGGGGCUAAACCAUGCACCGAAGCUGCGGCAGCGACGCUGAUGCGUUGUUGGGUAGGGGAGCGUUCUGUAAGCCUGCGAAGGUGUACUGUGAGG